UACGAAGGGGGCUAGCGUUGUUCGGAAUCACUGGGCGUAAAGGGCGCGUAGGCGGCUUUAUAAGUCGGGGGUGAAAGCCUGUGGCUUAACCACAGAAUUGCCUUCGAUACUGUAGAGCUUGAGACCGGAAGAGGUAAGUGGAACUGCGAGUGUAGAGGUGAAAUUCGUAGAUAUUCGCAAGAACACCAGUGGCGAAGGCGGCUUACUGGUCCGGUUCUGACGCUGAGGCGCGAAAGCGUGGGGAGCAAACAGG
RNAcentral lists this ribosomal RNA (253 nucleotides) under uncultured bacterium. RNAcentral's name for it is "partial 16S ribosomal RNA". It matches the Rfam family "Bacterial small subunit ribosomal RNA", at positions 524 to 776 of the family's 1533-position model. The record is from RNAcentral.